Xyrichtys novacula (pearly razorfish) is the source of this 283-nucleotide non-coding RNA. The record is from the annotation of a GenBank genome assembly. Lineage: Eukaryota; Metazoa; Chordata; Actinopteri; Labriformes; Labridae.
GUAGUCUUCAAGCCGUGCUAGAUACAAAAUUGGCAUAUGUCACCAGUUUUGUGCUCUGUGUUUUGGUAGAAACCAUAGACUGUAUAUAAGAUAUAUAUACAGUAUAUAUAACUUAUAUACAGUCUAUGGUAGAAACACAAGAGUGCAAGAUGGCUGCCUUCAUGGAAGAAGACUCGCUUCCCUACAGGUAAAUAGGCAAAUUGAGUUGAUGUUAGCGUCUUUUUGGAAGACGUUCUUGGUCCCUCAUGUUGAUGGACACGUCAUUGGUGCUGUCGAGUUAGCU